This 497-nucleotide ribosomal RNA is filed under the name uncultured bacterium. Its description in RNAcentral is "partial 16S ribosomal RNA". It matches the Rfam family "Bacterial small subunit ribosomal RNA", at positions 28 to 507 of the family's 1533-position model. The record is from RNAcentral.
GAUGAACGCUGGCGGCAUGCCUAACACAUGCAAGUCGAGCGAACAGACGAGGAGCUUUCUCCCCUGGGGUUGGCGGGGGACGGGUGAGUAACACGUGGAUAACCUACCUCUAAGACUGGGGUAACUACGGGGAACAGGAUCUACUACCGGAUAAUAUAUCGAACCGGAUGGUUCAAUAGUUAAAGUCGGUUUUGCUUUGGCUAAUAGACGAAUCCGGGCCGGAUUAGUUAGUUGGUAAGGUAACGGCUUAGCAAGGCGACGAUGCGUAGCCGACCUGAGAGGGUGAUCCGCCACACUGUAACUGAGAAACGGUACAGACUCCUACGGGAGGCAGCAGUAGGGAAUCUUACGCGAUGGGGGAAAGCCUGAUGUAGCAAAACCGGGGGAGUGAUGAAGGACUUCGGAUCGGAAAGCUCUGUUGUUCGGAAAGAAGGAAAGCGUAAUUACCCGUGAUGGUAUUGACGGUACCUGAAGAAUAAGCCCCGGCUAACUCCGUG